RNAcentral lists this ribosomal RNA (561 nucleotides) under Vicugna pacos (alpaca). RNAcentral describes it as "partial 16S ribosomal RNA". Lineage: Eukaryota; Metazoa; Chordata; Mammalia; Artiodactyla; Camelidae. The record is from RNAcentral.
GUUGUCCAGGAAAAGAAUGUAAGUUCAACUUUAAAAAUACCUAAAAAGCCGCUAAUUUUAAUGUAUUUUUAAAAGCUAGUCUAAAAGGGUACAGCUUUUUAGACCGAGGAUACAGCCUUACUUAGAGAGUAAAAACAACCAAUACCAUAGUUGGCUUAAAAGCAGCCAUCAAUUAAGAAAGCGUUCAAGCUCAACAUUCAAUAGAAUUUUAAUUCCAAUAAUCAACAAGGAACUCCUAAUCCAAUACUGGACUAAUCUAUUAAUCAAUAGAAGCAAUAAUGUUAAUAUGAGUAACAAGAAAUAUUUCUCCCUGCAUAAGCUUAUGUCAGCAACGGAUAUUCUACUGACAGUUAACACUUAAUAAAUCUAACCCACCAAUGAACAAUUUAUUAAACUCACUGUUAACCCAACACAGGCAUGCAUUAAGGAAAGAUUAAAAGAAGCAAAAGGAACUCGGCAAACACGAGCCCCGCCUGUUUACCAAAAACAUCACCUCUAGCAUUACUAGUAUUAGAGGCACUGCCUGCCCAGUGACACUCGUUAAACGGCCGCGGUAUCCUG